Molecule: long non-coding RNA, 734 nt
Organism: Talpa occidentalis (Iberian mole)
Lineage: Eukaryota; Metazoa; Chordata; Mammalia; Eulipotyphla; Talpidae
Exons: 6
Source: RefSeq, a predicted model, not a curated record
UGCGCCAUCUUGCACCCGCGGCCUUUGUUUAGGACGGCUGGAUGCGGAGGACACUGUUGAGCCUGAGAGAGGAGGAGCAGCUCAAAAUUGUAGAGGGGAGCCUGAACAGGUGUGCGGCAGCUGAAUCAAUCAGGGAGUAAUCACCAUGGAUGGAGAGAAACACAGUCUACAACCACCACAAUAAUGCGGUUAAGUAAGUGUCCCUCAUUUUGUGAAAUCACAAGGGUCAAGACAUCUCAAGUGUAAGAGAUAAGCCUUGCCCUGAGAAAACCACCUGGAUGAUCAUCAUGGUGUCUCCCCCAACAAACAUUCAACUAGUGACUGCCAAGGACAACAGACCCACCAUCAACAACUGGGACUCUGGUGAUCUAGAUGCCACGCUGCCAUUGACUAGAAUCUGGGAGUAUUCUGCAGAAUCUUGAAUUCAUUGUUCAUGCCUGGCAUUCCACUGAGUUUCACCAAACUUCUGAAAACUCCUGCUCUUUAGCAUAUUCUGUCUCAUGUUUCUACAAAGAUUUAAAGUGAAUAAAGGGACGUACAAAGAAAAUAAAUGGAAACUAGUGAAGUGGCAAGGAAUCAAGGACUAUCGGAAAGUAAGUCCAGGAAUCCCUAUGGAAGAGGAACUAUAUGCAGUAUACAGUAGAGGUGAGAAUGAAUGUGGUAUCUGCUGCGCGCUUUCUUUUGCAGUAUCUCUCUUUACCAACACUGCCCAAGACGUUCAUCUCAGCUAAUUC